GAGGGAUCAUUACCGAGUUUACAACUCCCAAACCCCUGUGAACAUACCUAUACGUUGCCUCGGCGGAUCAGCCCGCGCCCCGUAAAAAGGGACGGCCCGCCCGAGGACCCCUAAACUCUGUUUUUAGUGGAACUUCUGAGUAAAACAAACAAAUAAAUCAAAACUUUCAACAACGGAUCUCUUGGUUCUGGCAUCGAUGAAGAACGCAGCAAAAUGCGAUAAGUAAUGUGAAUUGCAGAAUUCAGUGAAUCAUCGAAUCUUUGAACGCACAUUGCGCCCGCCAGUAUUCUGGCGGGCAUGCCUGUUCGAGCGUCAUUUCAACCCUCAAGCUCAGCUUGGUGUUGGGACUCGCGGUAACCCGCGUUCCCCAAAUCGAUUGGCGGUCACGUCGAGCUUCCAUAGCGUAGUAAUCAUACACCUCGUUACUGGUAAUCGUCGCGGCCACGCCGUAAAACCCCAACUUCUGAAUGUUGACCUCGGAUCAGGUAGGAAUACCCGCUGAACUUAAGCAUAUCA
RNAcentral lists this ribosomal RNA (516 nucleotides) under Fusarium sp. E7105a. Its description in RNAcentral is "eukaryotic LSU rRNA". The stretch from base 162 to 315 matches the Rfam family "5.8S ribosomal RNA". The record is from RNAcentral. Lineage: Eukaryota; Fungi; Ascomycota; Sordariomycetes; Hypocreales; Nectriaceae.